GUGUCAGCCGCCGCGGUAAGACGAACCGUGCAAACGUUGUUCGGAAUCACUGGGCUUAAAGGGCGCGUAGGCGGCUUGCAUAGUCGGUGGUGAAAUCCUGCAGCUUAACUGUAGAAGUGCCUCCGAUACUAGCAAGCUCGAGGGAGGUAGGGGUCUGCGGAACUUCUGGUGGAGCGGUGAAAUGCGUUGAUAUCAGAAGGAACGCCGGUGGCGAAAGCGGCGGACUGGACCUCUUCUGACGCUGAGGCGCGAAAGCUAGGGGAGCAAACGGGAUUAGAUACCCCUGUAGUCC
RNAcentral lists this ribosomal RNA (292 nucleotides) under uncultured bacterium. Its description in RNAcentral is "partial 16S ribosomal RNA". It matches the Rfam family "Bacterial small subunit ribosomal RNA", at positions 505 to 796 of the family's 1533-position model. The record is from RNAcentral.